Molecule: ribosomal RNA, 200 nt
Filed under: uncultured bacterium
Lineage: Bacteria
Description: partial 16S ribosomal RNA
Rfam family: Bacterial small subunit ribosomal RNA
Source: RNAcentral
ACGCUCGACACCUACGGGGGGCAGCAGUCGGGAAUAUUGCGCAAUGGAGGAAACUCUGACGCAGUGACGCCGCGUAUAGGAAGAAGGUUUUUCGGAUUGUAAACUAUUGUCGUUAGGGAAGAAAAAAGACAGUACCUAAGGAGGAAGCUCCGGCUAACUACGUGCCAGUAGCCGCGGUAAUCUGAGCGGGCUGGCAAGGC